GGAAGUAAAAGUCGUAACAAGGUCUCCGUUGGUGAACCAGCGGAGGGAUCAUUACCGAGUUUACAAACUCCCAAACCCCCUGUGAACUUAUACCUGUCUACCGUUGCUUCGGCGGGUUCGCCCGCCGAGGGACCGACAAACAAACUCUUGUAUUUCUAUCUAUAGCAUGUCUGAGUGGAAUCAUACACAAAUGAAUCAAAACUUUCAACAACGGAUCUCUUGGUUCUGGCAUCGAUGAAGAACGCAGCGAAAUGCGAUAAGUAAUGUGAAUUGCAGAAUUCAGUGAAUCAUCGAAUCUUUGAACGCACAUUGCGCCCGCCAGUAUUCUGGCGGGCAUGCCUGUUCGAGCGUCAUUACAACCCUCAAGCCCCCCCGGUGACGGGAACGGGCUUGGUGUUGGGGACCGGCCAACUGGUGCCCUGCUGCUGCCGUGCAGGCGCCGGGCCGCCCCCGAAAUGAAUUGGCGGCCUCGUCGCGGCCUCCCUCUGCGUAGUAGCACAAAUCUCGCAGCUGGAGCGCGGCGCGGCCACUGCCGUAAAACGCACCAACUUUUUUAAAGUUGACCUCGAAUCAGGUAGGAAUACCCGCUGAACUUAAGCAUAUCAAUAAGCGGAGGA
This is a ribosomal RNA of 617 nucleotides. The stretch from base 200 to 353 matches the Rfam family "5.8S ribosomal RNA".